Molecule: unclassified non-coding RNA, 199 nt
Filed under: uncultured Hymenogaster
Lineage: Eukaryota; Fungi; Basidiomycota; Agaricomycetes; Agaricales; Hymenogastraceae
Description: sequence contains ITS2
Source: RNAcentral
AAUUCUCAACCUUAUCAGUUUAUUUCUGAUAGUGGCUUGGAUGGUGGGGGUGCUGGCUCCUUUAUUGAGGUCAGCUCCCCUUAAAUGCAUUAGCUGGUGCCCUGUGUGGACUUGUCUAUUGGUGUGAUAAUUAUCUACGCUAUGGAUGUCUUACUUAGCACUGCUUCUAACGGUCUGUUAAUUCGGACAAUACAUGACA